RNAcentral lists this ribosomal RNA (704 nucleotides) under uncultured Flavobacteriaceae bacterium. Its description in RNAcentral is "bacterial SSU rRNA". It matches the Rfam family "Bacterial small subunit ribosomal RNA", at positions 53 to 756 of the family's 1533-position model. The record is from RNAcentral. Lineage: Bacteria; Pseudomonadati; Bacteroidota; Flavobacteriia; Flavobacteriales; Flavobacteriaceae.
UUAUGCAAGUCGAGGGGUAUAGUUCUUCGGGAACUAGAGACCGGCGCACGGGUGCGUAACGCGUAUGCAAUCUACCUUUUACAGAGGGAUAGCCCAGAGAAAUUUGGAUUAAUACCUCAUAGUAUGUGAGAAUCGCAUGGUUUUCACAUUAAAGUUCCAACGGUAAAAGAUGAGCAUGCGUCCCAUUAGCUAGAUGGUAAGGUAACGGCUUACCAUGGCGACGAUGGUAGGGGUCCUGAGAGGGAGAUCCCCCACACUGGUACUGAGACACGGACCAGACUCCUACGGGAGGCAGCAGUGAGGAAUAUUGGACAAUGGGCGCAAGCCUGAUCCAGCCAUGCCGCGUGCAGGAUGACGGUCCUAUGGAUUGUAAACUGCUUUUGUACAGGAAGAAACAACUCUACGUGUAGAGUCUUGACGGUACUGUAAGAAUAAGGAUCGGCUAACUCCGUGCCAGCAGCCGCGGUAAUACGGAGGAUCCAGCGUUAUCCGGAAUCAUUGGGUUUAAAGGGUCCGUAGGCGGUCUUAUAAGUCAGUGGUGAAAUCUCCCCGCUCAACGGGGAAACGGCCAUUGAUACUGUAAGACUUUGAAUUAUUAGGAAGUAACUAGAAUUNUGUAGUGUAGCGGUGAAAUGCUUAGAGAUUACAUGGAAUACCAAUUGCGAAGGCAGGUUACUACUAAUGGAUUGACGCUGAUUGGACGA